Aquila chrysaetos chrysaetos is the source of this 175-nucleotide long non-coding RNA. RefSeq lists it as uncharacterized. The transcript has 3 exons. NCBI's taxonomy places the organism in Eukaryota, Metazoa, Chordata, Aves, Accipitriformes, Accipitridae. The record is from RefSeq and is a predicted model, not a curated record.
UGGGGCAAUGCUUCCGAGGUGCUGACAUAGAUGCUGUUUGUGUUGCUCCUAGACAUGUAGAAAGAUCGGAUCUUUCAGUCGUUCUUUGAAAAACUAAAACAUCAAGAGGAAAUAAAAAAUCUAAGAGCAGUUGAAGAUGUAUAUGUACCAGUUGUCAAGUUUGAGUUUGAUGGCA